RNAcentral lists this long non-coding RNA (447 nucleotides) under Ananas comosus (pineapple). RNAcentral describes it as "long non-coding RNA (ACOM_LNC043672)". The record is from RNAcentral. Lineage: Eukaryota; Viridiplantae; Streptophyta; Magnoliopsida; Poales; Bromeliaceae.
GAGUUGAUUUCAGAUAUUCUAGUCAUAUGGUCGAAUGAUAAGGUUUGGCUAGUAACCAUGACUUUAGUUCGAUUGGGACGUUGUAUGUUGAAAGGAAUUAAUCACAUAGUAACUGUAAGCGGAAAGGUUCAUUUUUCAUCACCAUUCUGGAUUGCCGUGAUAUACUGCUAGGUGUCACUCGCGGACGGUGAGAGAAUAUGAUGAUUCGAAUUGAAUUGUUCUUAUUUAUCAAUUAGAAGAGUUCUAAUUAAAUAUCAGAGAGUUUGAUAUUGAGCUCGACUGCCGAAUGGUAAUGAACCUAUGCAGUCACACACAUUAGGAAUUGUGUGCACCUGAAUCGUUUGGAUGAAAGUCGUUCACUAAAGAGUUUAGUGUAAGCGAUAAAAAUAAAAGAAAGCUGCUUAAUUAAAUUAGAUUUAAUUAUUCGAUUCGGUUAUAACUGAUAAU